AGUGAACGCUGGCGGCGUGCUUAACACAUGCAAGUCGAACGAGAACGGUCCUUCGGGAUGUCAGCUAAGUGGCGGACGGGUGAGUAAUGUAUAGUUAAUCUGCCCUUUAGAGGGGGAUAACAGUUGGAAACGACUGCUAAUACCCCAUACUCCUUUUAUCUUAAUGGUAAUUGGGAAACGUUUUUUCGCUAAAGGAUGAGACUAUAUGGUAUCAGGUAGUUGGUGGGGUAAGAGCCUACCAAGCCAAUGACGCCUAGCUGGUCUGAGAGGAUGAUCAGCCACACUGGAACUGAGACACGGUCCAGACUCCUACGGGAGGCAGCAGUGGGGAAUAUUGCACAAUGGAGGAAACUCUGAUGCAGCAACGCCGCGUGGAGGAUGACGCAUUUCGGUGUGUAAACUCCUUUUAUAUGGGAAGAUAAUGACGGUACCAUAUGAAUAAGCACCGGCUAACUCCGUG
RNAcentral lists this ribosomal RNA (460 nucleotides) under uncultured Campylobacterota bacterium. RNAcentral's name for it is "bacterial SSU rRNA". It matches the Rfam family "Bacterial small subunit ribosomal RNA", at positions 29 to 507 of the family's 1533-position model. The record is from RNAcentral. Lineage: Bacteria; Pseudomonadati; Campylobacterota.